This 497-nucleotide ribosomal RNA is filed under the name uncultured bacterium. Its description in RNAcentral is "partial 16S ribosomal RNA". It matches the Rfam family "Bacterial small subunit ribosomal RNA", at positions 28 to 507 of the family's 1533-position model. The record is from RNAcentral.
GAUGAACGCUGGCGGCGUGCCUAAUACAUGCCAGUCGAGCGAACAGAUGAGGAGCUUGCUCCUCUGACGUUAGCGGCGGACGGGUGAGUAACACGUGGAUAACCUACCUAUAAGACUGGGAUAACUUCGGGAAACCGGAGCUAAUACCGGAUAAUAUAUUGAACCGCAUGGUUCAAUAGUGAAAGACGGUUUUGCUGUCACUUAUAGAUGGAUCCGCGCCGCAUUAGCUAGUUGGUAAGGUAACGGCUUACCAAGGCAACGAUGCGUAGCCGACCUGAGAGGGUGAACGGCCACACUGGAACUGAGACACGGUCCAGACUCCUACGGGAGGCAGCAGUAGGGAAUCUUCCGCAAUGGGCGAAAGCCUGACGGAGCAACGCCGCGUGAGUGAUGAAGGUCUUCGGAUCGUAAAACUCUGUUAUUAGGGAAGAACAAAUGUGUAAGUAACUAUGCACGUCUUGACGGUACCUAAUCAGAAAGCCACGGCUAACUACGUG